Molecule: ribosomal RNA, 220 nt
Filed under: uncultured bacterium
Lineage: Bacteria
Description: partial 16S ribosomal RNA
Rfam family: Bacterial small subunit ribosomal RNA
Source: RNAcentral
UGGGUAACCUGCCUCAAAGAGGGGAAUAGCCUUCCGAAAGGAAGAUUAAUACCGCAUAAUAUGUUUUGGUCGCAUGGCCGAGACAUCAAAGGAGUCUUCUUCGUAAGAAGAAGCAUCCGCUUUGAGAUGGACCCGCGGCGCAUUAGCUAGUUGGUGAGGUAACGGCUCACCAAGGCGACGAUGCGUAGCCGACCUGAGAGGGUNAUCGGCCACAUUGGAA